Long non-coding RNA from Bactrocera dorsalis (oriental fruit fly), 972 nucleotides. RefSeq lists it as uncharacterized. The record is from RefSeq and is a predicted model, not a curated record. NCBI's taxonomy places the organism in Eukaryota, Metazoa, Arthropoda, Insecta, Diptera, Tephritidae. The transcript is spliced from 3 exons.
ACUUCCCAGCGGGAUAAUGGUUCACUGCUUACAUUUUUCUUUGAAGAAUGCUUCGAAGAAAAUUUUAUGUACAAUUCUUCGAUACCAGGUAAUGCAUAAAAGUAAGCUAUGCGGAAUAAUGGUUCCCCGCUUACAUUUUUCUUUGAAGAAUGCUUCGAAGAAAAUUCUAUGUAGAAUUCUUCGAUACCAGGUAAUGCAUAAAAGUAAGCUAUGCGGAAUAAUGGUUCCCCGCUUACAUUUUUCUUUGAAGAAUACUUCGAAGAAAAUUCUAUCUAAAAUUCUUCGAUACCAGGUAAUGCAUAAAAGUAAGCUAUGCGGAAUAAUGGUUCCCCGCUUACAUUUUUCUUUGAAGAAUACUUCGAAGAAAAUUCUAUCUAAAAUUCUUCGAUACCAGGUAAUGCAUAAAAGUAAGCUAUGCGGCUAAAUUCUACUGUGUUCAUAUUUACAAGUCAACAAAAAGUUGGUUACUAUUUGGUAAGUAUUUCGUGUUUUUAACAUUGAAGGACAUAGCUUCAAAUUUAUAAACAUACUCUUUCAACUUUUUUGUAGAAUGUGUGAAAGUUGAAGGCUUCACCGAAUCGGAGUAUAUUCACCAAAUUCAAAAAGUUAUCAAACUCGCCAAACGCAGUUUCUUCAAGUCUCGUUGCUUGAAAAAAACGGCAAGAGACUCAGCCACAAAAUUAAAAGAAAACCAUAAUGGCUAAAUGAGUAGCGACCAACAUCUCCGCUUUGGCAGCAUCCCGGUUCUUUCCGCUAGUUACCCGUCUGUAUAUAUGUAUAUUUAACGUUUUUAAAACUGUUUUCAACCUUUGAUCAUUUUAUAUAUACAUACAUACAUAUACAUAUAAUAUGUAUUUAACGUUUUUAAACUAUUUAAAUUUGUAAUAAUUCGGUUCAUUUAAACACAUUUUGUUAUAACAAUUUUUAAGUGCAUUUCGCAUAAAAUAAAACCUUUAUAACGAUUGUAUUGAA